UCCCCCGCCCCGAGAGCCGGCUGGCUCCAAGCUCCUCCCUGUCACGACGAAUGGUGGCGGGGUUGUGCUGACAGGUGCCAGGCGAAGCACCUCGGAGGGAAGAUUUAUCGUUAUUGUUAUUCCCGAUUAGUUUUUUUUCUUUUUUCUUGUCUUUUACCCAGGGAAGGAAAGAGAAAGACUGCUUGUUCCGUGUGUAUCUGAGUUAUAGCUAAUAUAGCAACAGCAGGAGCCAAUCCCAUUUGAAGCCUCUAAGCAUUAGAGUAAAUCAACAGAUUAAAGUGCUUCAGCUUCUGAUUUUAGAGCCCGGGAAUAAGCUUACAACUUGGAUUAAUGUAUAUAGUAGCUUCACUGGAGGUAUUUAGCCUUCCUAGGGCAUGGGCAGUGGUGAUUUCUGUUUAUGGGACGGGUAAACAUGUAGUUUUUUUCUUUUUCAUGCUUGCCCACAGGCACAGAUAUGGUAUGUUUCAGCUCUGAAACAACAUGUUCAUUUUUGCAGCUCUAAAACCACGAUCACAGAGAAACCAAGUCAGAUCCUGGCUGCUCCGUGCCCCACUGACCUAGGGCCAGCCGGUGAGGAGGGAGCUCCGUGACGCUGCCCGGUGGCAGGAGGCUCGAUCCGGAAGGCUCCGCAGGGACACCCUUGGUGACAGGGCCCAGACCUCACCCAGGGUCACCCCAUGGACAGGUCUGUUUUUCUGGUCCGGCUUGUUUAGCACACAGGAGCCACCCACCUCCUUUCUUUGCUUUCCAGGCUUCAUCAGCACUCAGCCAGACCCUGCAUAAACGUCCUCAAGCCUCAGCUUUGGGGCCCUUAUUGGCUGUAAAAAAAACCAAACCUUUUAAUCUGGGACAAAUUGUGUUGCGUCCCCCCCCACCUGGUAGAGUAAGCAAUCCCACUUCCCCACAGCAAAGCUUAGACCAACAGGCUUCCUAUAUGAACCUGAGCUCAGGCUCUUAUCUCUUCUUCCUCAGGCUCCUUAGGGCUUGCAGGUGUGAGGGGCCCUCCUUCUGAAAAGUUAACCCCUUCUUUUUCUAUCCCCUACCACAGGUUAGAAGGGACCUCUGAAGAUCAUCUACUCCAAACUACUACUACUACACGUAGUUUUGUUACAGUUCUGUAAUAUGCCCCUGGCAAGUCCUUGUUAAUGAAACCAUACUGUAUAAUGCCUAAGGGAUUUACAGGAGUCACAGUGUCUUUAUCAGCCCUAAAGGAGGGAAAGAGGCUCCUCCUAAAGGCGAUUUUGCGGCUCUGCAAAGCUGCGCAGAAAAGGACGGGAAUAUUUUUAAUACUAAUGAAAAUCCUUUGUAAUUGGCUGGAAAUGGUUCUGUGGUCUGCAAAGAUUCCAAUUUUGAAAGCCCCAUUUGAACAAAAGACUAAUCUUUUUCUUCAGUGAACCAUCUGGCACAGAAAAAUGCUCUUUAUUAUGAGAUUUCAUGGGAGAUAUUUCUCUGCAAAAUGGGAGGCUAUCAAGUGUGGAAUUGUCCCAUGGUGUACAGUUGUGUUAUGAUUUCUAUAGAAGACCUUGAAGAGCUUUAGACUCCAGGCAACACUCCAGAACUAUUGACCCCCGAACUGAACGGGCAAAUUCAGAGCCAAAGAGCAGAUGUGAGUCUGGUUGUCAGUCAUUCUGCUGGCUUUCACGAGGUUCAAAAAAAGGCAUUACAGCCACGUCCAUGCAGCAGAGAUCAUCAGCUCCUUGCACGUGAUUACUCUAAGAAGAGGUUUUGUCCUCUCGUUAGAACGGAUCCAAUAGUCUGGUCUCGGGAAAGAAGAAACAAAUGCUGAUAUAGUCAAUUUUGGGGACUCCUAGGGGAGAGAACAAGCUGUACUUUUAUAUGCACAAUAUACUGCCUAAAUGUACCCAAGGUAAAAGGUCGUCCUGUUUUAACUUCGUGAGUUUUAUGCCAAUGAAGUUGAAUCAUAGGGAAAGCGUAGGGAUGUGGGAUCUGGCUGAAAUGUGUUCCCUGUCUCCCGUCUGAGCUGCAUCACAUGGAAGAGGUGGAAGAAGCUGGAUUUGGGCAUGAGUAGUCGAGUACUGCGUCCAGCUCUGGGGUCCCCAGCACAAGCAGGUCAUGCACCUGUUGGAGUGGGUCCAGCUGAGGGCCACGAGAAUGGUCACAGGGCUGGAGCACCUCUCCUGUGAAGACUGGCUGAGGGAGUUGGGGUUGUUCAGCCUGGAGAAGAGAAGGCUCCAGGCAGGCCUUACAGUGGUCUUCCAAUACCUAAAGGGGGCCUGCAGGAGUGAUGGGGAGGAACUCUGUCAGGGAAUGGAGUGACAGGACAAGGGGUAAUUUAGGCUUUAAACUAAAAGAGCAUAUGUUUAGAUUGGAUA
Long non-coding RNA from Cygnus olor (mute swan), 2333 nucleotides. RefSeq lists it as uncharacterized. The record is from RefSeq and is a predicted model, not a curated record. The transcript has 6 exons. NCBI's taxonomy places the organism in Eukaryota, Metazoa, Chordata, Aves, Anseriformes, Anatidae.